Molecule: unclassified non-coding RNA, 498 nt
Filed under: uncultured Glomus
Lineage: Eukaryota; Fungi; Glomeromycota; Glomeromycetes; Glomerales; Glomeraceae
Description: SSU rRNA
Rfam family: Eukaryotic small subunit ribosomal RNA
Source: RNAcentral
CCAAUAGCGUAUAUUAAAGUUGUUGCAGUUAAAAAGCUCGUAGUUGAAUUUCGGGAUUAGUACGCUGGUCGUGCCUUCGGUAUGUACUGGUGUUACUGGUUCCUACCUUCUGACGAACCGUCAUGUCAUUAAUUUGGUGUGGCGGGAAAUCAGGACUGUUACUUUGAAAAAAAUAGAGUGUUUAAAGAAGGCUCGCGCUUGAAUACAUUAGCAUGGAAUAAUGAAAUAGGACGUUAGAUCCUAUUUUGUUGGUUUCUAGGAUUGACGUAAUGAUUAAUAGGGAUAGUUGGGGGCAUUAGUAUUCAAUUGUCAGAGGUGAAAUUCUUGGAUUUAUUGAAGACUAACUACUGCGAAAGCAUUUGCCAAGGAUGUUUUCAUUAAUCAAGAACGAAAGUUAGGGGAUCGAAGACGAUCAGAUACCGUCGUAGUCUUAACCAUAAACUAUGCCGACUAGGGAUCGGAUGAUGUUAUUUUUAAUGACUCAUUCGGCGCCUUACG